RNAcentral lists this long non-coding RNA (1225 nucleotides) under Nicotiana benthamiana. Its description in RNAcentral is "long non-coding RNA (NBEN_LNC030164)". Lineage: Eukaryota; Viridiplantae; Streptophyta; Magnoliopsida; Solanales; Solanaceae. The record is from RNAcentral.
CUACCUAACUCAAAACCCAAACUUGUUAUUUUAAAAAAAGACCAACGAAUCAGUUGUUACUACUUUCUAAUCCUGGGCCCAAAGAGCCCAAACCACAUGCCUCAGGCAGAAAUGCCGAAAAUCCCAAACUGGGCCAGAAAUUGGCCCAAGUUAAAAGCUGGCCGGUCGUGUGAGAGAAGCGAGGGAUCGAAUCCUAGGAGCAACAGACCAACGAACUAUCAAGCAUUCAUCAGUGAAUAUUGCUAAAGUUUUUUAAAACAACUAAUCCAAACUAAUUACUAAUAAAUGAACUAGACUAUAAGAAUGAGUCACAUGGAAACCAUAAUCAUUUGGGAAAUCAUUUUACAGGUAUUGAAAUCAAAACUAAUCUUGACCACUAACAGUUAAAGACUGAUAUUUUUACUAAUAUUGUUCAUAUCUAAAUUGUUGAAUUGUCGUAACUGACAUUCCCAUAUUGGAAACAGUUAAGAACUCCAUCUUCAUGAAUUUCAACGAAACCUCCUCGUUAUAUUAAAAGUGCUAGCCGAAUAGCAGUUUAUCUGUUAACAAUCCAAAUGUCCAAACAGUCUACUACAAAGUAACAGUCUAACCGAUCUAUUACAGACAACUCAAAUGUGAAUUCAGCAAAACAAAUCUCCAAAACUAACUACAGUUAACAUGAAUGAUAUUUUAACAAUUAGUCAACAACUCCAGAUGGAUUCAACGAGCAGUUCUUCAUUAUUCAAGGAUUCCGUAGGCAGUUUAUACAAGUGAAUCAAAAGUCUAGGUCAAGGGAUAGUGAGAAUGUACCUGGGAAAGUGAAUUACAACAGGAGGAAGAAGUUAGCAGCAGCAGCGAUGGAGAAUUUCCAAACAAUCAGCAUAGUAAUUUCAACCCUGAAAACAGAUCAGUAGUCCAAAUACCAAACAUGAAGGAGGGAUUGACCAAAACAACAUCAAAGCAGACCAAAUAAACUCAAAUGGCAUCCGAGAAUAUCAUCAAACAUCAAAAUUGCACAAAACCCAGCUUUAAUCAUCCAAAACUGCUCAAUACCAAACCAGCACGAUCAAGAAAACUCCAGUAUUCAAAGGAGAAGAAAAUCGAACAAAACUAAGUCAAAACCCCUAUGUGACAGUACACUUUUGCAGUUUUCUCAUGUUUUCUGCUUUUUUUAUUUUCUUUUGAAACUUAGAACUUAGAAGAGGAUUUAAAUCACCAGUUCUAAUUUUAGAUCUGGAAAUUUAAG